CCUACGGGAGGCAGCAGUGGGGAAUUUUGCACAAUGCUCGAAAGAGUGACGCAGCGACGCCGCGUGAAUGACGAAGGACUUCGGGACGUAAAGCUCUAUCGACAGGGAAGAAAAUGCAUAUAAGUAACUGAGUAUGUAUUGACGGUAACUGUCUAAGCAGCCCGGGCUAACUUCGUGGCAGCAGCCGCGGUAGUACGGAGGGGGCGAGCGUUGUUCGGAGUUACUGGGCGUAAAGGGAACGUAGGCGGUGGUGUAAGUCAUUAGUCAAAGACGAGAGCUCAACUUUAGGAAUGCUAUGGAUACUAUAAUGCUGGAGUAUCAGAGAGGAUAGUAGAAUUCCUGGUGUAGCGGUGAAAUGCGUAGAUAUCAGGAGGAAUACCAGUAGCGAAGGCGGCUAUCUGGCUGGAAACUGACGUUGAGGUGCGAAAGCGUGGGUAGCAAACAGGAUUAGAUACCCUUGUAGUC
Molecule: ribosomal RNA, 465 nt
Filed under: uncultured bacterium
Lineage: Bacteria
Description: partial 16S ribosomal RNA
Rfam family: Bacterial small subunit ribosomal RNA
Source: RNAcentral